AUUGAACGCUGGCGGCAGGCCUAACACAUGCAAGUCGAGCGGGGACUUCGGUCCUAGCGGCGAACGGGUGAGUAAUGCUUGGGAAUCUGCCCAGUAGUGGGGGAUAACGUCCCGAAAGGGACGCUAAUACCGCAUACGUCCUACGGGAGAAAGAGGGGGAUCUUCGGACCUCUCGCUAUUGGAUGAGCCCAAGUCGGAUUAGCUAGUUGGUAGGGUAAUGGCCUACCAAGGCGACGAUCCGUAGCUGGUCUGAGAGGAUGAUCAGCCACACUGGAACUGAGACACGGUCCAGACUCCGACGGGAGGCAGCAGUGGGGAAUAUUGGACAAUGGGCGAAAGCCUGAUCCAGCCAUGCCGCGUGUGUGAAGAAGGCCUUCGGGUUGUAAAGCACUUUAAGCGGGGAGGAAGGUUAGCGGCCUAAUACGUCGCGGAAUUGACGUUACCCGCAGAAUAAGCACCGGCUAACUCUGUG
RNAcentral lists this ribosomal RNA (472 nucleotides) under uncultured bacterium. RNAcentral's name for it is "partial 16S ribosomal RNA". It matches the Rfam family "Bacterial small subunit ribosomal RNA", at positions 30 to 507 of the family's 1533-position model. The record is from RNAcentral.